UUAAAUUGGUAAGUAGAGAAUAAAACGCAUAUAUACACUUUUCUUAAUUACCUUACAAGUUUUAUUGUAAUGUUAUUUGAAAGGUAUAAUAGCAAAUUUCCCGUUUGUCUCCCGCAGCGGCACUAGCAGACAGGCGGUCAUCGUGAAGCAGGCGGGAAGAGAGCCUUGUCAUAAAGACUCAUUGAAGUAUGCUGUGCCAGUAGCCUUUGACCUGCAUUAUAUGAAUCACCAAGGACCACAGUUUCAGCUAAAAAUCUUCUUUAGUGUUGAACUGAAGAAGAAAAGUCACCUACAUUUGGAUGGCUUGAGGAUGUUCGAUGAUCGCAGCCAUGAUCCUUG
Sinocyclocheilus anshuiensis is the source of this 339-nucleotide long non-coding RNA. RefSeq lists it as uncharacterized. Lineage: Eukaryota; Metazoa; Chordata; Actinopteri; Cypriniformes; Cyprinidae. The record is from RefSeq and is a predicted model, not a curated record. The transcript is spliced from 3 exons.